GACGAACGCUGGCGGCGUGCUUAACACAUGCAAGUCGAACGGAAAGGCCCUGCUUUUGUGGGGUGCUCGAGUGGCGAACGGGUGAGUAACACGUGAGUAACCUGCCCUUGACUUUGGGAUAACUUCAGGAAACUGGGGCUAAUACCGGAUAGGAGCUCCUGCUGCAUGGUGGGGGUUGGAACGUUUCGGCGGUUGGGGAUGGACUCGCGGCUUAUCAGCUUGUUGGUGGGGUAGUGGCUUACCAAGGCUUUGACGGGUAGCCGGCCUGAGAGGGUGACCGGCCUCAUUGGGACUGAGAUACGGCCCAGACUCCUACGGGAGGCAGCAGUGGGGAAUAUUGCACAAUGGGCGGAAGCCUGAUGCAGCAACGCCGCGUGCGGGAUGACGGCCUUCGGGUUGUAAACCGCUUUCGCCUGUGACGAAGCGUGAGUGACGGUAAUGGGUAAAGAAGCGCCGGCUAACUACGUG
Molecule: ribosomal RNA, 468 nt
Filed under: uncultured bacterium
Lineage: Bacteria
Description: partial 16S ribosomal RNA
Rfam family: Bacterial small subunit ribosomal RNA
Source: RNAcentral